This 1662-nucleotide long non-coding RNA is filed under the name Physcomitrium patens. RNAcentral's name for it is "long non-coding RNA (PPAT_LNC008883)". The record is from RNAcentral. Lineage: Eukaryota; Viridiplantae; Streptophyta; Bryopsida; Funariales; Funariaceae.
UGGUUGGGAUUUGAUUUAAGAUUUGUUUAAGGUUUGAUUUAGAGUUUAGGAUUUGAUUUAGGAUUUAGGAUUUGAUUAGGAUUUGGUUUAAUAUUUAGGAUUUGUAUUAGGAUUUGUUUAGGGUUUUAUUUAGGGUUUAGAUUAGGGUUUAGGAUUUGAUUUAGGAUUUGGUUAGGGAUUGGUUUAAGGUUUAGGAUUUGAUUAAGGUUUGAUUAGAGUUUGGUUUAGGAUUUAAGAUUUGUCUAGGAUUUGAUUAAGGUUGGAUUACGAUUAGGGAUUGAUUAGAAUUUAAGGUUUUAUUAGAUUUUUUUUAGGGUUUGACUACAUUUUCUUUAAUAUUCUUUUAUAUUUCUUUAGGAUUUCCUUGUGUUUUUUUUAUAACUUCAAUAAAAUUUAAUUGAGCUUGCUUAAUGUUUGAUUAUGAUUGUUAAUAUUUAAUUAUAAAUUCUCUAAAAUCCUAUUGGAUUGUUAGGACCUUUUGUUGUAAUUUUCUUUUACCUUCCACAGCCAGGUGCUUGGUGCAUUUUCAAACAAGACUUUAUGUAAUACGACAAUGUUGUCGUAAUACAUGAAGUCUUGCUUGACAAUGCUCCGAGCACCUGACUAUGGAAGGAAGAAUGGAAAUUGCAAUAACAAAAUCCUAAUUCUAAUAGAAUACUAAUAAUACUCUAAUUAGACCAUAAUAAUGCUAAGCAAGCUUAUUCAAAUUCAAAAAAUCCUCAAAGAAAUUUCAAACAAACAAUAAGAAUUCUUAAAGAAAUAUUAGAAGGAUCACAAAUAUCACUCAAAUACAUCUCAAUUCAAUCUUAAUUUAAUUCUAGUUAAAAUCCUAUUGAACUUCAUUCAAACUUUAGGCCAAAACUAGUUGAAUCUUAAAUCUUAUUAAAAUCUUAAACCCUAAAUCAAACUCUAAACAAACCUUAAACCAAAUCCCAAGCAAAUUCUAAACCAAAUCCUAACCAAACCCUAAUCAAACCCUAAACCAAACCCUAAACCAAACCCUAAACCUUAAAUCAAAUCCUAAUCAAAUCCUAAUCCAAAUCCUAAACCCUAAAUCAAACCCUAAUCCAAACCCUAAAUAAAACCCUAACCAAACCCUAAACCAAAUCCUAAAUCAAAUCCUAAACAAAUCUUAAAUCAAACCCAGACCAAAUUCUAAAUCAAACCCUAAUCAAACCCUAACCAAAUUCUAACCAAACACUAACCAAAUCCUAACCAAACCCUAACCAAAUCCUAAUACAAAUCCUAAAUCCUAAAUCAAAUCCUAAACCCUAAAUAAAAUCCUAACCAAACCUUAAACCUUGAAUCAAACCUUAAUCCAAAUCCUAAAUCCUAAACCCUAAACCAAACUCUAACCAAACCCUAAACCAAACCUUAGUAAUUCCUAUAAUAGAUUUAAAUCUCAAUAACUAAUUAAUAAACCGUUGAUCUUAACUCAAAUUUUUCACACUUCUAAAAACAUAAGUUAAAAACAAGCACAAAAAAAUUGAAAAGGAUCGGAAUUACCAAAUUGAUGUUACCUUCAAAAAUGUACUCGGAUAUUGGCUGGCCUCCUUCUCCAAUCUUGAUGCCAAUCUUCUAGAGCUAAAAUCUCUCUUUUGCACCGUUAGAUUGAUCUCAAAAUUCUCAAGCACAUAGAAAAAUAAGUCUUAUAUCCUCUUA